AUUGAACGCUGGCGGCAUGCUUUACACAUGCAAGUCGAACGGCAGCGCGGGCUUCGGCCUGGCGGCGAGUGGCGAACGGGUGAGUAAUGCAUUGGAACGUGCCCAGUAGUGGGGGAUAGCCCGGCGAAAGCCGGAUUAAUACCGCAUACGACCUGAGGGUGAAAGCGGGGGACCGAAAGGCCUCGCGCUAUUGGAGCGGCCGAUGUCGGAUUAGCUAGUUGGUGGGGUAAAGGCUUACCAAGGCGACGAUCCGUAGCUGGUCUGAGAGGACGACCAGCCACACUGGGACUGAGACACGGCCCAGACUCCUACGGGAGGCAGCAGUGGGGAAUGUUGGACAAUGGGGGCAACCCUGAUCCAGCCAUGCCGCGUGCGGGAAGAAGGCCUUCGGGUUGUAAACCGCUUUUGUUCGGGAAGAAAUCCUCUGGGCUAAUACCCCGGGGGGAUGACGGUACCGGAAGAAUAAGCACCGGCUAACUACGUG
RNAcentral lists this ribosomal RNA (484 nucleotides) under uncultured bacterium. RNAcentral's name for it is "partial 16S ribosomal RNA". It matches the Rfam family "Bacterial small subunit ribosomal RNA", at positions 28 to 507 of the family's 1533-position model. The record is from RNAcentral.